CCCAAGUUGAAUUUUGACGUAAUUUCUCUUGAUGUAGCUAGCAGGUGGCAAAGGUGUAUUUGAAAGUCAGCAGCAUUAUCACAGCGAUUAGAAUGUCCUCCGUCUGCUAGUCUUCUUGAUUCUUAAAUUCUGUGGAGCUCAAAUAGACAACAAAGCUUGUGGAACUGAUUAAGUCUUAGCAUAAAUAUCUAGCCUUUAUCAUGUUGAGACUCCUUAAUAAAUAUUACUCCCUAUUUUUAUAUUUUUAUUUUAUAAAGCAGAAAAAAUAUUUUUAUUUUAUUUUUAUGCCACCACAGUGAAUGUACUUAUGGGUUUUAUGCCACUCGUAUACUCGCAUGGGGCUUACUAUUUUUCACAUUUUUAUUUUCUUUUUAGGAUAAUAUGAACUUAAUUAACUAAGUAGACUAUUUAAAAUAAUUUAAAGGGAAAGGAUAACUACCAAGUUUACCUCUUGGCAAGGCGUUCAGUGUUUUUAAGUCCUCCGAAUGGGACUCUCCGUUUUCUCAAUUGUCCUGGGAUUCUUUGGGUGGCGUAGUCGGUACUUCCGGUGGCGCCUCCUCUUCAGGUAUAGUUAUCUUCUCUUUCCAUACCUGACUCGGUGCUACGGUCUCCUCUGGAUAAUUCUGUUUAAACUGUACUUCUUCUGACCUUACAACUUCUCCUUCAUAGUCUGCCCAUCCGUCCUUGAUGAUUUGCCUCCUCUGGUUACGGUUGCGUCAUUUUCUUACCUGCUUAGAUUCUUCAAAGAUGUAGUUAGGGUCAGUAAAAUAACAGCAUACCUUCUCUGAGGGGAAGUGCAUAUGGGCUUCUCCGGUUCCAAUGUAGAUGAUUGCUUUAACGGUGCUGAGGAACGGUCUUCCAAGGAUGAUGGGUGGAUCGUAUUCGUCUUCUCCCAUGUCAAUAACCUGAAAGUCUGUGUAGACAAAAUGAUCGUCUAUUUUGACUGGGACAUCAGUUACCGUAUCUUUAACUUCUCGAAACGUCUGAUCUGCCAUCUGGAGCUGAAUGUAUGUUGGUUUUAGGGGCAUGGUUCCGAACAAGAGUCGAUAGGUGACUGCGGCCAUUAUGUUGACGCCCGAUCCGGUGUCGCAAGUCGUCUUGUAGAAGUAGUAUCCAUUUAUGGAGCAAUAGAUGCUUGGCAUUCCUGGGUCGUCCUUCUUGGUCAAAAAUGGUGACUUAAGUUGUUGAUCUUGACCUCCAUGAACUGCAGUGACCACCUUAGCUGACUCGGUCCACACUUGCUUGUUCCUGUUCCUCCUGUUGGUCCUCUUCCUUGAUUCACGUCUGGAUUGAUCUGGGAUUUGUGUAGUCUUGUUCUUGAAGAAAAACGUCUCCUUCCUCCCUUUGAUGUAGAAACUGAUCUUGGCAGCACUGGCGUAGAUGACAGCUCCCGAGGUGUUUAAGAAUGGCCUCCCUAGGAUGAUAGGUGCCCUCUCAUCAUUACUGGUCUCUAUCACCACGAAGUCUGCUGGGGCAUAUAAGGUACCAACUCGGACAAAGGUUCUUCAAUAUUCCUUUUGGAAAACUUAUCGUCUGAUCUGCAAACUACAAACACAUGGUUGUUUCUGAUAAAGGAUAUGUAAAGAAUUUUUCAUAGAGUACCCUGGGUAUAAUGUUGACGCUAGAGCCAAAGUCGCAGAGUGCUUCUGGGACGUCCACCAUGCCGAUGGAGAUCGGGAUGACGGGGCGUCCUGGAUCGCCUCUCUUGACCGGCAGAAGGUCAGUAGUGAAUUUAGUGACGGGUUACUCCAAUUACCUGCAUCAAACAUGUCUACAAGAUUUACAGAUUCUAAUCCUUCCGGUUGUGAUGGUAUACCAGGUUUAGUAGCAGGAACAGCAACAACUAUUUGAUUUAAUUGAUAUUCAAUCAUUUUAUUAAAGCUAAUUUGAUUCUUGAUGGCAGUAGAGAAAUUAUUCAUUCUAUUAUUUAUAUUUUCUAGCAUUUUAUCAUUUGAUGCCAAUUUCUUAGAUAGGUUAUCCAUUAGCUUUCCUUGAUUAGACACUAACUCUCUCAGAGGUGGAAAAUUAUUAUUAUUGUUGUAAGAAUUGUUACCUUGAUAAUUACCUGAGUAGUUAGGCCUCUGUUGAUUCCAACCUUGAUUUUGUUGAGGGCGGUUGUAGUUGUUGUUGUUAUUGUUGAUGUAGUUCACAUCCUCAAGCAUCUCAGGGCAGUGAUUGCAUGAGUGUCCAGUGUCUCCACACUCCUCACAAGUCAUGUGAGAGUCAUAGAUGUGCAUAACUUCUUUCUUAUCUCCAGCUCUAUUGUCGAGCUUCUUCAUGAGCAGGUCUAGCUUUUCAGGCAACCUGUCUACCUCCUUGAGCUGCUGCAUACCUCCACCUCUCUUGCGUGUCUGGGUCCUCUCUUCAUUCCAGCUUUGGUUGGGCGCCAUCUUCUCCACAAGAGCUGUGGCUUGUGAUAUGGUGAGUGAUAGGAAUGCUCCUCGAGCUGCAGCAUCCAUGGUUUCUCGGGCACUAUUGCCGAGCCCAUGAUAAAACGUUUGCAUCAGUUGCCAGCUCUCCAUUCCAUGAUGGGGACAUUCUAGGAUGUAGUCUUGGAAGCGCUCCCAUGCUUCUGGAACGGAUUCAUCAUUUUGUUGCUGAAAACUUGUAAUCUUCCCACGGAGAGCUUUGGUCUUGCCCAUGGGAAAGAACUUAGCUAGGAAGUUUGUUGAGCAGAGUGCCCACGUAGUAUUCUUCUCCUUUGUAGCACAGAACAACUACUUCGCUCUCCCUAACAGUGAGAAUGGGAAGAGGCGAAGUAGUAUAGCAUCUCUGGGGCCUCCUGAUAUGGUAAAUGUGUUGCAAAUCUCCAGAAAGUGUUGGAGAUGAGCACUAGCAUCUUCUUGUGCCUUCCCACAGAACUGGUUGGAUUGCACCAUGUUGAUAAGUCCAGGCUUGAGCUCAAAGUUGUCGUCGAUCUCUGCAGCAGGUCCAGUGCGGAUGUUGUCCGUAGUGGGAGCUGAGAACUCACGGAUUGAUUUGUUCGUCAUGGCUUCGAACUCUGAAGCCAAGUUCCGGUGAUCUUCUUGAUUGGAUGAAGCUUCUUGCUGAAGUGUUGAUGAUCCCUUCUUGAGCUUGGCUCUUGUUUUUCUGAAUAAUGCUUUGGGAUUGUCAACAAAAUUUCCUGGAAGAUGUCUUCUAUUCAUACAUUCCCCUGCAUAAGAUAAAAUAGUUAAAUAUCGGGGUAAAACUGUAUGAGAGAAUAGAUAAGCUCAAUCAUAUUAGUGAUGCGAAUGAUAACUCAAAAUCCUUUAUUCAUUGUUGAUUAGUAAUCAACCUUCCUCGGCAACGGUGCCAAAAAUGCUUGUUGGGUAUUCUUAACAUCAUUACCAAAAGUAGACUUAGUUUUCUAAUUCUGAUAACGGUGCCAAAAAUGCCAAACCUAUCCCUCAUACCACUUCAGCCAAGUUGUCAUCCCCACCAUGAUAUAAGAGACGCGGUAUUGAAAUAUGCAAUUGCUCUUCUAAAUAAAUAAUGAAUGAGAUCUGCAAGCGCAUAGAUUAAUACCAAUGUAGCAUUUUAACCUGGAAGUAUUCUAGGUAUCGUUAUUUAUAUUUUUACCACUAGGAAGGGAUUAACAAUCAUCAAUAUUGAUUACAGAAUAGAAUAUGAGAUUGAGUAUCUAUCAUUGCAUGUAUAAUUGAGAACAUUUAUCUAACUCUUUCAUACAGGGAUAAGUGUCACAUAAAAGAUAUAAAACAAUGAAUAGUGACAAAGAUAAUUGAUUUGAUCAGCAUAACUUAGCCACAUAUAAAUAUGAUAAGCACCUCAAUUAGAUACUCUAGAAAGUCAUUAGCAUGGAAUUAGAAUGAACUACAAGAAUAUUUCCUAAGUUAUUCUCAACUAUAUAGUCUAGCAUUAUCAUAGUUAGUGCAAGCAUACUUAGCAAUCAUUGCGAGACAAGACUACGCCCAUGCAUAGUGAUAUUAGCAAGGUAAAUGAGAAACAUAGCAAUCACUCCCCUGUAAUAAUAUUACUCUGCCAGCCCAAUACACGAGAGGGGGACUAUAUAAGUAUCAAUGAAGCUGUCACUAUCACGAACUACCCCACGAUCUGGCAUAUUGGGUACAAUCGCAGAUAAAUACGGUAUAAGCACCACGCCUACACAAUAUCUAUCAUUUACCCAUGGAUCCGAUGGAUAAACGCUAUACGAUCCUAAGCAUGUAUAUAGAUCCAAUCUAACUAAGCCAAGUAUAUAACUAUGAUAAACUAAGAACAAUAUAAUCUUGAAUAUAAACAAGUAGAGCAAAGUCAUAAGCAAUAUAUUGAAGUAGAACAAAGUCAUAUUCAUAAUAUUGAAGAACAAAGAUGAUUAGAAGAACAAUUAGAAGAACAAUUAGAGAAUUACCAAGAAUCCUCUUGACAGAUCCGGAAACCAAUCGAAGAUUGACGCCUUCUAGUUCUAAUCCUAUGCAGCUAUGCUAAUCUAGAUAUCUAAUUGAUGUGGUGGUUCUAAUCUUGAUCAGAGGCUUCUUCUCCCUUGAGAAUAAUGAAUUAGGGUUGAGAGGCUCUCCUCCUCCAGGGGCCAGGGGGUCUGGUUUUAUAGUCCCUUCAAGUGAAUAUGGGCGUUGGAUCAAACCGACAUUGAUUGAAUGGUUAUCCUUGAUCCUUUAGGUCGGUGGAGAUCUUUCCCGAAAGAGAGUCCUGAUUGGACUCAGAAGGGGGACGGGCACCCAGGUCAACUGGGCGGGCGCCCAGUGCCUGGCCCCGUUCAGCCUCCGCUUCCUUCCCGUGGCUUCUAGAGUCUUCUAGAUGUAAGAUAAUUGUGCGGCACGUUGAUAUCUCUAUGUAAUCCCGACGUGUGGGCCUUUCUUCCGUAUUUCCUGAUAACCCCCUGCAGAAAUAGACAAACACCAAAACUCGUGGAAUUCUGUCAGAUAAAACCCUAUGUCUAGAUGUUGAUUUCAUUUGGAUCCUUAUCUUUGUUUAUUUGAUAAUUAAAUUUGAUACUUAAGGACCGUCAACACCAAGCACCCCGCGACUUGUUGCACUCCCUUGACAUCUCGAAUCAGCCCCAUUCUUGCUAUGGCCGAGACUUUCUCGGGGUUGGCCUCGAUGCCGCGUUGGGAGACUAUGUAACCUAAGAGCAUGCCUCGAGGUACGCCAAAGACGCACUUCUCGGGGUUGAGUUUGAUCUUAUUGGCGCGUAGACAACCGAAAGCGAUUUCGAGGUCCUAAAUCAGGUCGCCUCGUUUCUUCGAUUUGAUGACGAUGUCAUCGACGUAUGCCUCGACCGUUGACCCUAUGUGUUUGCCGAACACGUGGAGCAUGCAUUGCUGGUAUGUCUCCCCAGCGUUUUGAAGCUCGAAGGGCAUGGUUACGUAGCAAUACAUCCCAAAAGGCGUAAUGAAAGAUGUCAUGAGCUGGUCGGACUCUUACAUUUUUGUUUGAUGGUAACCUGAAUAUGCAUCAAGGAAUGAAAGGGUUUCACAUCCCGUGGUAGAAUCAACAAUUUGAUCGAUACGUGGUAAAUGGAAAGGAACUUUUGGACAUGCUUUAUUCAAACUCGUGUAAUCGACACACAUCCUCAUUUUCCCAUUCCUUUUCUUAACUAAUACAGGGUUUGCUAACCAGUCGGGAUGGUGAACCUCCUUGAUGAAUCUGGCCGUCAAAAGCUUGUGGAUCUCCUCGCCAAUGAUCUUGCGUUUCUCCUCGUCGAAGCGACGCAGUCGUUGUUUCACUAGCUUGGAACCGGCUCGAAUUUCCAAGGAGUGCUCAGCGACUUCCCUCGGUAUGCCUGGCAUGUGCCGAGGGACUCCAUGCAAACAUGUCGGCAUUUGCGUGGAGAAAGUCAAUGAGCACGGCUUCCUAUUUGGGGUCGAGGUCGGCGCUGAUCGUCAGCGCCUUGCCGUCGGAGCCAUUGGGGUCGAGCAGGAUCUUCUUCGUGCCUUCCGCUGGUUCGAAGCUGCCCGCGUGACGCUUAGGCUCCGGAUCCUCUGCAGCAAGGGCCUCGAGCCUCGAAGCGAGUUCGACAGAACCUUCGACGGCUUCCCCGUACUCGACGCACUCGACGUCGCACUCGUACGCAUGUUCGUAGGAGCUGACAGUGAUGACCCCCUUGGGCCCAGGCAUCUUUACCUUCAAGUAUGUGUAGUUGGGGAUAGCCAUGAAUUUGGCGUAGCCUGGGUGUCCAAUGAUGGCGUGGUAUGUGCCUCGAAAUCCCACCACCUCAAAGGUGAGAACCUCCUUUCUGAAGUUGGCCACCGUGCCGAAACAGACCGGCAGGUCGAUUCGACCUACCGACAACGCCUUCUUCCCUAGUACGACACCAUGGAAGCCGACCGCGCUUGGUUGGAGCUGUGCUCUUUCGAUGCCGAGGAGGUCGAGGGUCUCGAGGUAGAUGAUGUUCAGGCUGCUGUCGCCAUCCAUCAGCACCUUCGAGCAUUGUUCGCCUAAACGGCCGUUUAGACCGUUUAAACGCCGUGUAAACGCUACACAAUGAUACACCGUUUCCGUUUAAUCAUCUGUUUAGUCCGUUUAAUUGACCGUUUAGCCCGUUUAAUGGACUGUUUAGCCCGAAUAAUGGCUAAACGGCAGGUGACCGACUGUUUACCGUUUAGCGUUUAGGAAAACAUUGCCUUCGAGAGUCUGGUGUUGACGAUGAUGGGGUCGACAACGAGCGGGUAGACGCCAGGGGCGACCACCUUGUCGGGAUGGUCGUCACGAUUGAAGAUGAUGGGGGUGCUCGACCAGUUGAGGUACUGGGGAACCGCCAUCCUUGCUACAAAGACCUCUUGGCGUUCCCUCUUGCGCUGCCUUGUAGUUAGCUGCGUCGAGGGUCCACCAUAAAUCAUGUAGCAGUCAUGGAUGGUUGGGAAACCCUCGUCUUCUUUGUCGUCCCCCUUGUCACCGCUCUUUUCUUUCUUUUGGUCAUCCUUCUUAAGCCCCAGGCCGUCGAAAUAUCUUUUCAGCAUGCGGCAGUCUUCAAGCUUGUUAUUUGCCCCUCCCUUAUGAUUAGGGCAGGGCUCCUUUAGCAUCUUGUCGAAGAUAGCUCCCUCGGGGGGGGGUCCUCGAGGCUUUUUACGCUCCAUGGCGGCGACGAGAUCAUCGUCGAGGGCCUCCCGUUUGAACGGUCGUGCUUUCUUCUUCUUCUUGCUUUUCUUGGGCCCUCGACUGGGGCCCUCAUUGUCGUCGGCUAGCGCCUUGCCUUUCCUUCCUUCGUAGCUGAAGAAAGCACCAACCGCUUCCUCCCCUGCAGCAUAGUUUGCCACCACAUCCAUUAGCUGGUCGACGGUCUAAGGGCGAUUCCGACCCAACUCCCGCACUAGGUCUCUGCAGGUGGUGCCUGAGACAAAGGCCAGGAUGACGUCAUGGUCGGGGAUGUGCGGCAGCUCGGUGCGCUACUUCGAGAAGCGCCGAGCAUAUUCUCGGAGGGUUUCUCCUGAUUUCUGCUUGCACUUGCUGAGGUCCCACGAAUUGCCGGGUCGUAUGUAGGUCCCUUUGAAGUUGCCUUCGAACACCCUGACCAAAUCGGUCCAGUCGUGGAUCUAGUUGGUAGGGAGUUCCCCAAGCCACCUGCGGGCGGUGUCGGAGAGAAAGAGCGGCAACUAACGGAUGAUGGCUCGAUCAUCUCCUCGAGCGCCUCCCAACUGACAUGCUAGUCGGAAGUCUGCCAGCCACAGUUCCGGCUUGGUUUCGCCGUUGUAUUUGGCAAUGCUGGUUUGGGCUCAAAACGGGUUGGGCAACGGCGUGCUGCGGAUCGCUCUGCUGAACACACGAGGGCCCGGUGGUUCUGAGGCCAUCCGGUCCUUGUUGCAGUCGUAUCGUCCGCCACGGUGGUCGCUGUAGCCGCGUUCCUCUACAUCCCCAUGUCGACGGCGACGAUACUCGUUGAUGUCGUGUCGUCCGUCGUGUCACUAUUGAUUGUCGACAGGGUGGUCUUGGACAGGCGCUGUUUUCUUUCCUCGAGGGGGUGGUUGCUGAUGGACAGACACCUCCCUUUCAUUUCGGACCGGCUCGUCGCGCUUCUCCGAGACCGCCCCUCGACGUCGAGAGGCCGAGCUCUCGGCUUGCUGAGCUGCCGCCACCUGAAGUAGAGUUUGCACCUUGUCUCGAAUGCGCCGUGCUUGGGAGCUCGAGGGUUCAGGCAUGUUACGUAGUAGCAUGGUCUACGCCACGACAUUCUGGCCUGCUCGAGGGAAACGGCUGAUAGGCUGUUCUGGUUCCCCGUCUCCGACGAUCUGCCAGUGCACUUCUCGAGCUCGCCUGUGUGCACCUCCGCCAUGCGGGUAUGGUUGUUCCUGCUCAAGGGCCCGCUCGAGCUGGGUGAGGCGCUCGCGAUCUUCAUCAAGCUUUGCUUUGAGCUCUGAUAACUGCGCAAGUUGCACGGCUUUGUCUUCCUGAGGCGGAGGGUCGACCUGACCGUUGUUCCCAGGAGUCCUGGGGUCCUCCGUUGCUACAGGGGCUCGACCGCAGGUGACGGCGUCUUGUGUUUCGUCUGUGGUCUCCACCUCCCCAUUGAUGAUGAAGCAUUCCCUAGUAGGGUCGUAGCUGUCAGAUUCAGAGUCGGGAUCUGGCUCGGCGGCAUAGAAACAUCCGCGUCCUUCCUCCACCAGCCGCUGCCUGAGCGAGGUGAUUGUGUAUCGCCCGGGUCCUAGGCAUCGGAGGCCUUGUACCUGGGAGAAAUCUGGCAGCUCAGCCGCUUGCUGUUGUGACCCAGCGUCUCACGGGAGGACCAUUGGUCGCUCCACGUACGUUUGGGCGUUUGGGCAUAUUGUCCUGGCGAGUGAUGCAGCGGCGUUGUCCAGACCGAACAGGUACGUUCUUCUAGAGGCGAACAACCCGUGCGGUAGCAGUGUCGUCGAGGGCGAGAGCACACAAGGCGCGUCGUCGCCCAAGGUCGUCACGCGGCCCUCGUGACGUCGGGCCGCCGUAUCCGCGGCUUCGACGCGUGGGGCUAUCGAUUCCUACACCACCGCUCGCCUAGCACGAGCUGAUGACCGUGCAGCGGCAGAGGGGCGGUGGCGGUGCUGUCCACGCCUCUUCUUAGGUGGGGAGGCGUGGUGGCGAGGCCGUCUUGGGGCCUUCAGUCUUGCGAAUGCAAUGCGGGCUCCUCCGAGUCCCUUGACCGAGAGCAGGAUCAUGUCGUAGCCGAAACUGGUGGACAUAAACUCGAGGCUCCCGAACCAAAUCACCAUGGAGCGCGGGAUCGGUGAAACGAGAGUGGCCAUCUAGAGAGAGAUGGGAAGUCAGUGAAAAAACACGUAGGACCCCUACCUGGCGCGCCAACUGUCGGUGUUUUACCCCUGGGGGUCACACCAACGAGUGAAACUUGUGUGCGUGUUCCCUUUCCCAGAUGGUGAUGUAAGAAAGACACAAAGAUUUAUCCUGGUUCGGGCAAGAGAAGGCCCUACGUCUAGCGGGGGGGAUGUUUCUAUUAUCUUGCACCUAAGUGCUUGUACAGGGGCGAAUACAAGUCGGUGUUGUGAUGGAUUCUAAGUUCUAGACGGAGGUGGUGUAUCGUUGUUCUCUACAUAUCUCUUCCUAUGCCUCCCCUUUUAUAGUCAAAGGAGAGACCUAGGUUACAUGGCGUAGGUGAUAGAGUAGGGGUCGAUAGGGGCGUGGAGCGCUGACCUACACGAGGCUUCCGUACCAGCGUGGCCUUGAGCCGUCUUGUUCCACAGUACUUGGGUGAUGAUUACGCGUGCCCCUGAAUUCAGCUCCUUCGCGCUGUCCUGGACCGGCUUAACCGUGGGCAUGCCUGUACGUCGUGGUUGCAGUCGUGUCAGAGUGGUUGAGGUGCCGUCUUUUAUUGCCCGACUCUUCUCUUGGAUGGUACGUGCCCGCUCGAGAGUGAGAUGUCGCGCAAAGCCCUGCUGAAUGGAGCGCUGACUUUGGACAUCUCGAGGGGGGCCGUGACAUGACAUUCCUUCUGUCUCACCGCACUCAGCCUUACUCUCACUCUUCUGAAAGGAUAAAUCUCCAAAAAGGGGUGAUUGGAUGGGUGCUCGCUCCCUAUCACGCUUCCCGUGACUGUCGGGUUAGGUGAGAACACGGCAGGCGCAUUAAAUGACCUGGUUCCCGUACUCGCGGCAGGCGGCGGACGGCGUCCUUGCGCUCGAGGCCUGUCGUUUCGUACGAGCCAAUUCCGUAUUCGAUGGUCGCCGUUCUGUCGAGCCUUGGUUGAUUCGUACGACCCUUUCUCCGUGUUUGAGGCUAUGGUCGUCAUCGCAUUUUGGUGAUCGCGCGUGCGAACGGGGGGCGUCGAGUCAGGAGCCUCGACUCACGUACGGGUCCUUUCAUUAUAUGCAUCGGUUAGGGUACCCCUUACUGAUACGCUCGACAAUCAUGGAGGUUUUCAUGGAUGAUUUUACCGUCUAUGGCAAAACCUUCGAUCAUUGUUUGGAGAAUUUAGAUAGAGUCUUGCAGCGAUGUGAAGAAAAGCACUUAAUCCUGAACUCGGAGAAAUGCCAUUUUAUGGUUCAGGAAGGAAUAGUGCUAGGACAUAAAGUGUCCGAAUGUGGUAUAGAGGUGGACAAAGCAAAGAUUGAAGUUAUUGAAAAACUUCCACCUCCCACGAAUGUGAAAGGAAUCCAUAGCUUUUUUGGACAUGCAGGGUUUUAUAGACGCUUUAUCAAGAACUUCUCUCAAAUUGCUAGACCCCUAACUAGUCUCCUAGCUAAGGAUGCACCUUUCAUCUUUAGUGAUGUGUGUCAUGACUCUUUUCAAACUCUCAAGAAAGCACUCAUCUCAGCCCCGAUUAUCCAACCACCUGAUUGGAAUCUUCCUUUUGAGAUCAUGUGUGAUGCUAGCGAUUUUGUGGUUGGUGCCGUUUUAGGACAAACCAAGGUAAAAAGCAUUAUGCCAUAUCCUACGCUAGCAAAACUUUGUCUGGACCAUGUUGACGGUCCUUAAUGCUCACAUCUAACUAUCAACUAAUCAUAAAAAAGGAUCCAAAUGCAACCAACACCUAGACUUAGGGUUUUAUCUGAUAGAAUUCCACGAGUUUUGGUGUUUGUCUAUUUCUGCAGGGGGUUAUCAGGAAAUAUGGAGGAAAGGCCCACAUGUCGGGUUUACAUAGAGAUUAACGUGCCGUGCAAUUUUCUAUCAUCUAGAAGACUACAGAAGCCACGGGAACGAACGGGAGGCCGAACGGGCCCGGGGGCAGGGCGCCCGCCCUCCCCCCUUGGGCGCCCGCCCUGCUAUAGUGCCCAAUUAGAGUCCUUUUCGCGAAUCGUGCUCCACCAACCUAAGGUGUAACACCCCAGUGUUAUGGUUGCAUCAAGCAUGUGCAUAGCAUGAGCAUCAUCAUUUACUCAAAGCAUAUCAUGAUCAUCAUCUAUCUUGAGCCAUGUCAUUCUAUGCAAAAAUGUGUUUUAAAUUGCUUAAAUUGGCUUCCUAUGCUUAUGUUUGAGUGAACAAUGCUUGUGUUUGUGCUUAAUGCCUUGGUAAUUAGUUUAUCUAUGCUUAACUUAAUCUUGGGAACAAUGUUCAUGUUGAUCACUUUUCCAAAAUAUGCUUUUAAGUCAUACUUAUGAAAAUAGACCCUAGAAACCUCUUUUUCUUAGGAUUUUAAAAAGUGUUUCAUAAAAUGUUUGCAUGUCAAAACUUUCUACAGCAACGUUGUAGUAAAUUUUAUAAGGAACAAAAGUUGUUUUAUGGCCAUCUCAUGAAAAUGAUCACAAAUAGCUAAAAAGUGACCUACAAGGCAGAUUUGGGGCUGUUUUCAACACUUAGAAAAUUUUCUAAGUCUUGGAACGAAAACAGUUUGCUCGAUUGAUUUUGAAAACUUCAUAACUCUCAAUCCAAGCCGAUCUAGCUCUUGCUCCAGUUGACAAAGUUUUAGAUCUCGCUUAGUUCUCCAAGUUUGUCAACUACGCCAUCUUCUAAUUCGCUCUGGUUUGGGAGAUAAUCGCCGGUGAAGUGGCUCUGUCAGACCAGCACCCUUUCUUCUGAAUCGAGCCUGAGCUCGUCGACGUGGCCGACCGCCGGCAGAGCUCCGUCGCCAUUUGUCGACCACACGCUGCUCCUGGCCUCGCUUGUCAGCCAUCGUCGCGUGCAUGACCUCCACGGCGACGUCCCGAGCGAAGUGGACGCGUCCACUCGCUCUGCCUCGCCCUCCUUCGCCUGAAACUCGCCCGCAGCGAGCUCUCCGCCGCGAGCUCACUCCGGCGAGCUCGUGUGCGCUCCUCACUGCGCCUCCGUCCACCAAACUCCACCCAAAGCUCCGCCGUGAGCCGCUCUCUAAGCUCCACCCUCUAACUCGCCGAGAAACCCACCGGUGAGCCGACAUUCCCUUCUUCCCCCAAAUCGGUUCGCCGUGACCUUCUUCUCCGGCGAACUCAAUGCCGAGCGCUGUGAGGCUUCUCAUCGUCUUUGGUUAGGUCCUAGAGGUAGCUUAGGUCCUUAGCGAGCUUUUGCGCCACCUGGUGGAUGCUCUACCGGGUUCUCCGUCGCCGGACACGGUGCGCAGCGCCGCCGUGCUUCCGCCGGAGUUGGGUGCUCUCGUGGCCAGCGCGUUCCACGGGGAUCCAGGCCAAGCCGCGCACCUAGGAAGCUUCGCCGUACUCCGCUGGUGCUGUAGAAGGCCUUAGGUCGCGCUCUACCGGCCUGAGGGCUCCGGCGUAACGCCGAGCACCUCCGCCGAGCCGCCAUUGUCGACGGCGAGCCUCUUCCGGUGGCUCCGCCGUGGGAAAAGUGGGGUCAAUCGAGUCGUUAGGGUUUGGGGAUCACGCUGAUGCCCUUGGCUUGGCCGGAGACCUCGCCGUCGCGGAGAAAUCGCCGGCGAAAGUCGCCUCGGCCGCGAGGAAGAAGAGCCUGACAGAUGGGACCCACUGUCAGCGACUCUCUCUUUCCCUCCUUUUCUUUUAUUCAAAAUCCUGAUUUUUGGCUUUCUUGCAAAAAUCAUAUCUCCAGUUUCUGAGAUCCAAAAAUUGUGAAACAAAUUUUUGUGGAGUUUCUUGAGAUGGCUAGUAUUUAAUAAAAAUAUAAAAUGAAUCAUGUUUUCUGAGAAAUCAUUUAUUAAGGAUUUAAUCUUGUUAUUUAUGGAAAAAUGCAUAUCUCUUGUUAUACUGCUUAGUUUGCUUUGAAAAUUUUAUGGUAGCCUUUGCAUGGCAUUAGAGUGCUCGGAUAAUUAUUUCAUGAUUUUUAGAGCACUGCAGUUGGGAUACGUAAUUUGUGUUUGAGAUAUGGCUUGUUUCUUUAAAUAAAUCAUAUAAAAUAAUUGGUGCUUAUGCUGAUGUUCUACUUUGGUGGUAAGUUUGUUUAUGGUACUCCUAAGAUGUAAAUAAUCUGAAAUCUGUUGUUUAACACCAUAUAAGUAUUGUUUCUAAAUUUAUGAAAUAAAUGCCUUGAUACGUGUUAAAUACAUAUCUUUAUUUUGGUAUGUGCAUUGCUGUGAAAUUUUUAUGGUGAUACUUUGAUGGUGUCCUUGUGCUUCUGUAAUUGUUGUAGAUUUUUCUGAGCAUUUGAACUAGUAUCUUGUAAUUAUGCUCUUAUUUAGAGUUAAUUAAUAAAUGCCUUGUUAAAUAAAUGUUUUGGGGUUUCCAUCUGAUGAUCUGGUAACCUUGUAAUAUGUUUGUGCUCAUAGGCCAUGUGGUUGGCAUGGUUUGUGUCUUGAUCAUGUCAUUAAAUAAUUAACUAUUGGGUUUAAUGCUGUUCUGGACAGCAAGGUAGCAAUUUGGUUAUUACUUAAUGAUAACUUGACUUUCUGUGGAACUUGUCUAAAGCAAAGAUGUUCCAAACUUGUUGAACUAACUAUGGUUUAAAUUUGAGGUCGUUUGGCCAAGUAGUUUAAAAGUUAUAGCUGUUUCAAGUUGGGUUCUAGGAAUAGGUGUUCUCUGUUUUUCUGGGACAGAACCUGGAACUUUGUUUAAAUGACCAGUCUCAUGUAUGAAUCUUGCUGUCAUGUUUAAAGAUUAAUUGUAGACAAUUUCAUAAGCUUUCCAGAAUGUCCUUACUCAUGUUUGUUGGACCUGCCUAUAUUUAGUUAUGAUUUAUUUACUGAGCCUCUCUGUUUGUGUGUUUGCUGCCUUAGUGUCUUGAAAGGUUUUGGGUUAUGUUAACUUGUUCAAUUAUGCGAGUUAGUAUAACUUUUGUCCGUAAAUGAGUGUCCAGUGAGUUGCUUGUGUCAUUAAGCAUUCAUCGUUAGCAUGUGCAUUAUCUUAUCGUUCGAGCAUGCAAUAGGUGCACCGGACGUGGCCGUUUCCUUCGAGCUCCAAGCGAAUCCCGAAGGUCAGGAGGGCAGCCAGGAGGUGGAGGUCCAGCAAGCCAGACUCGAGGAGCCCGAAGAAGAAGUUGAGUGCCCGAAUCACGAGCCGGCAUCAUUCGUGAAAGGCAAGCCCCGGAGCAUUCUAAGUCUCCUUCUAUUUUCGAAAGUUUACUUAAUAUGUUAUACCUAUUGAUGCAUUAAGUCUAGGAGUUGUGAUGAAACUGUUGCUGCAUUCUACUCUAUCCUUGUCCAGAUAACUCACCCUCCCUGGUUGUAGAGUUAGGAUCGAGUAGCAGCUUAGAUAUGCUUUAAUCGGUAGAAGUCGGGUGAUAUCCUGUCAUCCGCGCGAUAUAGGGUUAUGUCGGAUCACGAUGGUCUAUAUGUGCUAUCGUGGAUGGAACCUGAUUAAAGUGAGUUAAGCCGGGCGGAGUUUUGCAAGUUUGUAGUAACUCCGUCUGUGGCAGCUAAGGACUGAUCGUUGUACGUCCUCUUGUCAUGUUGAACGCAUGCCUAACACUUAGUUGGCCGGAUAACUCGUUCCGACCGCGAAGCCGAGUAGUAUGACUCAGGCCGGAAGACCGGCAAGUAUAAAGUGCGCACUACCGGAGGAAGUGCGGUGUGCGGGGGACCAUUGGCGUAAGUCCAAAGGCAGGUGAGUUAAAAUUCCUGACCUCCCUGGCAGAGUGGUAGCCCUUGGAGUGCGGCGCUGAUCGGAACCGCGAUUUCUGAGUUGUACCAAAAGUGACCCGUGGGCUCUCCGGCAGGGGAUGCCUGGGUGAGUGCUAGGAAUAAUCCUCCAGCUGGAUAGGAAUUCGAUUCGAAUCGCCGUCUCUCCCGGUUAGUGAUAACUUGACAGAGCAGCGGCAAACGUAGCAUUCACUAAUGAAUUUGGUUCAUGAUGAUGAUGAUAGCAAGAAGAACAUAUGAUGAAUUUGAUAUGGUUAUUAUUGUUUGUAAUAAUCAAGUGAUGUGUUGUAGUACAGGUGCUAAUCUAGUGGUAGGCUGAUGAUAAAUAAAUAUGAUGCUCUUAAAAUAACUUAGUUGUAAGUUAAGCUUUUGGCAAAAGGUGAGUCAACCAACUCCACCUAAGAUUUAGCCUUGCAUGAUCCUUGGUGUCUUUUGUGUUUUACUAGACGGGUAAGUCUAGCUGAGUACAUCCUCGUACUCAGGGUUUAUUCCCACCUGUUGCAGAUGAUAUCUUCUAUGACGGUUUCUGCAAGACCUGUCUCCAUCCCGCUGGGGAUGAGGACUAACCGUUGGGCACGGUUCUCUACUCUUCUCGUCUAUGAGGCUUUUUGAAGGAUGGCAUAGACUCUGGCAGUAACAAAACUUGUGAACUGAACUUUGAACAAGUGUGUGUAACUAUUUUGCUUCCGCUACUUCAAACUUGGGUUGUAAUAACUUAAUGACUCCGAUGUGGUGCCGCUUCAUCGGCAAUGACUGACUAUGUAACAUUCGUUGUGUUUAUGUUGAACUAUUACGAUCUUGGUUUGUUGCGAGUUGGUUUGAAGUCCUUCGUGAUUUCGAUUGACUACCGGGAUUAUAUGGGCUCAAGUUUAGAAACUUGAUUGUUUGACGAUCGUUUCUGCACUUGAACUCUUAUAAUUUGGUCGGUUCUGUGACAGCUGGCAUCGGAGCAAGUUCAGCAUUAUAAAUGCAGCGUUUGUGUAUUUAAAACAAAAGAGUUUUAAAUAAAAUACUGUAAAACAAAUAAUUAAGUUAUGCCUGUGGUCGAAUCCUCCUUGCCCACAUAAGGACUAUAGGUGGCUAUUUAAGUACUGACUUGGGGGGGGGGUUUAUUUAUGCAUCUCCGGCAGUACUCAGGUAUGGAUGUGUGAUGACCGCACUAUGCUACCCUGUGGUCUAAUGGUGGAGGUAGCCUUCAUAUGUGAAUUAGCCACAUAUGUCGCUAGAUUUAAAUUAUGUAACGUCGCACCUACGCUCGGGUAAGUGUGAGCUGUGAGAGCAUGAUCGUCCAAACGGCGGUCUAGGGGAGUGUUCGCGGUGGUUUUCUGGAGUGGUUACAUGUCGAAACCAUGAAACCACGAAAGAAACUUAAUUGGGGAGCAUUUAAUUUCUCGGGUAGUUGUGGUGUCAUUGUUUGGGGCAUGUUGGGCAUGUCCGAGCAAUGUGCACUUAGUUUACUGCUUUCUUGAGUGAUAUAUAUUGGGAACUGUUGGGCUGAAAUGAAGUUUUCUGCAGGUACUCUAACAGCGCACGUGUAAACCGAUAGUUACCGUAUCGAGAGACGAAUGUAUGCCACCGUAUAUCCAUUAGAAUAUUAAUUUUCUAAGUUUGUGAGGACGUACGGUUCGUGCAUGCAUCAUGUCGCAUUCAUACAUACAUUCUGUCUACUCCUUCCCUUACAAUUUUGUCCCUUUUCAAUAAAUGAAUGAUUGCUUAACUAAUCCUCUGUUACCCAAGGUGUUCCUAUUCCCUUCCACAGAUGGAUGCACCCGCUUCACCUCUUCCCAGUGACACUUUCUUGCACGAGUUUGGCACUCCUACCCUGCUCUGGAGAGUGUUACGGACUGUUGGGUAUACUGAGCCAUCUCAGUAUUCUUGGUGGGAGAUGGAGAGCACAGGAGGGAUCCAGUGGUUUGCUGUGCAGGGAGUUGUCCCUCCACAUGGGGACAAGCCUGCAUGGACAGGCUGGACUUGCAGCUCUGAUGGGCAGACUCCUUGGGAGGCAGCUCAGGUUGCAGCCCAGACUAUCCUGCUCGAUAUCUGUCAGAGGUGUGGUGACGAGCUGACGGGAGGACCAGCGGCCUCCAUUCCUAGUGCUGACCCAGCAGCCGCGGAAUGGAAACAGGCUGAUGGUUGUGCUUUGGUUCGAGGCAGGGCAGAGAGAGCUGAGAGUUCUAGUCCUGCGAUGAGUGCUAUGAUGGCGGUGCUCAAGCUGAUUAGUCAGCGAGAGGGCACCUAUGCACAGGUGAUGAUGGCUAUUCGCAGGGCCCAGGAGAUGCAGCGAAAGGCUGAAAGGCGUGCUCGCAAGUUUCACAAGCAAGCUAGACUCCUGGAGCAAGCUCAGAAGGACCGCAAUGACUGGGAAGACAUUGCGGAGUAUCGUAGGCAACAGUGGGUGAAGGCCAUCAGAGAGAGAGAUCAUAAGCAGGAUCAGAUGAGCCAGUUAGCUAGAGAGAAGGAGACCUUGCAGGAGCGCUUGGUGCAGCUCACCCUUGAGAGGGAUACUGCACUCCGUGUGUCGGAGAACAGGCGCCAAGCAUGGGAGAUGCACCGAGUUCAGUCGCUUGAGCGGGAGAACUAUCUGCAGUAUCAGAUUGAGGCUGGUCUUGUGGAGAUUCACCGUCUCAACAACUUGCUACACCCUGUUCCUCGCCCUAUACCCGUGUAUCCCGAGGUAGGACCUCAGGUGAUUGUGGCCGAUGAUGAUGGUAUGGAGGUCGAUGGACCAGCAGCGGCUGCACCACCUUUACACGAGGACGUGGAGGACGAGGAGCUUGAGCCGGUUAGCGACGAGGAUGGAGAGGCGAUCUUCGACGCUGACUCGGACGACGAGCCUGGAGUGUAGGGAGUAGUGGGUAGUGUGACCCAAGGAUCUUUUGUAGUAUGCCAGUCGGCUGUGGUGCUUUUGUAACCAUGUUGUAAUCCGAAACUUUGACCUUGACUCAUGGCAUGUACUGUGUUGGUGUAAUAACUUUAUGGACCCUAUGUGCAGUCUUUAUGAUCGUUAUGUUAUGCCGAUGUUUUCCGUUGUGGUGCGUAUUGCGGAUGUCUAUGUCAUGUGUUGGAUUGGUGAUGUUGUUUUGUGGAAUGGAAUUGUUGUGCCUUUCUGUAAAGCUAUUCUCUCGAAUACUUUCAGGCAUGAAUAUAAGUUCUUCUACGGCAAAUCUUGUCAUCAUCAAUACUCACUGACUGUGUCUUUACAGAUGUCUCGUGGCACCCGGGGUGCGGAACAGCGUGCAAACAUGAAUCCACCACCUCCUCCUCCACCACCAAAUCCAGCUGAGCUGAUGCAAAUGAUGGUGGAAAAUCAGAGGAUGCUCACUGAGACCAUCAAUCGUAUGGCAAAUCAGGGUGGCCGUAAUGCACAGGAAGGGCCAGCUCCUAACCAGUACAGUAGCUUCAAGGACUUCAUGGAUACGAAGCCCCCACCUUUCAGAGAAGCUGAAGAACCCGUUCAAGCUGAAGAGUGGCUGAAUACGGUGGAACAAAAGUUUCGCCUACUUCGGUUGACUGAAGGUUUGAAGUCGGAGUAUGUAGCUCACCAACUGCAACGACCGGCAGGCAUCUGGUGGAAUCAGUACCGAGAAGCUCUACCGGCUGACACGGUGAUUGAUUGGAAUCUUUUCCGUGAGGCUUUCAAAGGGCAUUUCAUUCCUCCGGGUGUUAUGGAGAUGAAGCACACCGAGUUCAUGCAGUUGACUCAGGGCAACAAGACUCUGAAGGUGUAUUUGCAUGCUUUCAAUCACUUGUCUAGAUAUGCUCCUGAGUUUGUGAACACGGAGGCGAAAAAGAUCGCUAGUUUCAAGCGGGGUUUGGGUCCCAAAUUGCUGAAGACUAUGGGCCGCUCUAAGUGUGCAACUUUCAAUGAGUUUGUCAGUGAUGCUCUCACCCAAGAGAACUAUAACACUGUGUACACUGCGACCAAGACUCACAAGAGGGCUUUUGAGGCCAGUGCUGGGUCAUCUCAGUCCAAGGCUCCCGUGGCAGCUAAGCCACCAUUCCGUGCUCCAACCCCCAACCAGCGAUACCGCCCUCCGGUGAAGAAGAAUCAGGCAAAGACGGGUUUUCGCAAGGGGUACUCUAUUGCUCUUCCUAGGGGCAACACGGGUCCCAACUAUGCCAAGACUCCACCUGCCAACCGUCCGUGCUGGAACUGCAAUCAGACCGGGCAUUGGCAGAGCAACUGUCCUUACCCGCCAAAGAAGGGCAACCAGGGGAACGUCCGUCAGGGGCGUGUUCAUUACACAACUGUGGAGGCAAUCCCUGCUGGUGAGGUAGUCACGGCUGGUAAGUUUCUGGUCAAUCAACAUGAUGCACUUGUGCUUUUUGAUUCUGGAGCAUCGCAUUCGUUUGUGAGUUCUGAAUUUGUAUCUAAACAUAACAUCAAGACCAUCACACUUGAUAACGGCAGUUAUUGUAUUAGUGUGGCGGGAAAUGAUAUUUCCCCCAAUCAAGUGGUUUUGGGGGCACUCUGGAAUAGGAAGCCGCAGUUCUUGCUGAACGGUUUGUUCUACCCGGUGUGGGCAUAGAUGUAAUUCUGGGGAUGAAGUGGAUGAGUGGUAAUGGAGUUCUUAUAGACACCACCACUCGUGUAGUGAUGUUGAAAGACCCAAAUACCAAGGAGGCAUUUCUAGUGCAACUCCCUCGUGAUAUUCAAAUCCGUAGCACUGUGAAUGCAGUUACAUCUAAGGCUAUUCAGGAUAUUCCGGUGGUGUGUGAGUUUCCGGAUGUUUUUCCUGAUGAUCUACCCGGGCUUCCUCCGGAUCGGGAUGUGGAGUUCAAAAUUGAAUUGAUUCCAGGCACCGCUCCUAUCUCUAGAAGACCUUAUAGGAUGCCGCCCAAUGAAUUAGCUGAGCUUAAGACCCAACUAAAUGAGUUGUUGCAGAAGGGUCUUAUUCGUCCUAGUUCAUCUCCUUGGGGUUGUCCGGCUAUCUUUGUGAAGAAGAAGGAUCAAUCUUUGCGCAUGUGUGUGGACUAUCGUCCCCUAAAUGCGGUGACUAUCAAGAACAAAUACCCUCUUCCUCGCAUUGAUAUCUUGUUUGACCAGUUGUCCAAAGCUAAGGUAUUCUCCAAGAUUGAUUUGCGAUCUGGGUACCAUCAGAUCAAGAUCCGUCCCGAAGAUAUACCUAAGACGGCUUUCUCGACGAGGUAUGGGUUGUAUGAGUACCUUGUCAUAUCCUUCGGCCUUACAAAUGCACCUGCUCAUUUCAUGUAUCUUAUGAAUUCGGUGUUCAUGCCCGAAUUGGACAAGUUUGUGGUGGUCUUCAUUGAUGAUAUCUUGGUAUAUUCUUGCAAUGAAGAGGAGCAUGCAGAGCAUCUGCGUGUAGUGUUGUCGCGUUUGCGUGAACAUCAGCUUUAUGCAAAGUUUAGCAAAUGCGAGUUUUGGCUAAAGAAAGUACCUUUCUUGGGCCAUGUCUUAUCUGAAGAAGGCAUAUCGGUGGAUCCGGCUAAGGUGCAAGAAGUGCUGGAUUGGAAAGUUCCAACUUCGGUACACGAGGUUCGGAGUUUUCUCGGUCUGGCUGGGUAUUACCGUCGAUUUAUUCCGGAGUUCUCCAAAAUAUCCAAGCCUAUGACUCGUCUACUUCAGAAAGAUGAAAAGUUUGUGUGGACACCUGAGUGUGAAGAGGCAUUCCACAAGUUGAGGACACUCUUGACAUCAGCUCCUGUCCUAGCUCAACCUGAUAUCGAGAAGCCUUUCGAUGUCUUUUGUGACGCAUCAGGCAUUGGUUUAGGCUGUGUGUUGAUGCAGGAAGGUCGCGUUAUCGCGUAUGCCUCGCGCCAACUUCGAAAGCAUGAGGUCAAUUACCCCACUCAUGACUUAGAAUUGGCAGCAGUUGUUCAUGCUUUGAAAAUCUGGAGGCAUUAUCUGCUGGGUAAUCUGUGUAAUAUUUACACCGAUCAUAAGAGCCUCAAGUAUAUCUUCACUCAACCUGAACUGAACAUGCAGCAGCGAAGGUGGCUUGAGUUGAUUAAAGAUUAUAAUCUGCAAGUGCACUAUCAUCUGGGCAAGGCAAACGUAGUGGCGGAUGCCUUGAGUCGGAAAGCGCACUGUCACUCAAUUCAAGUGGAAGAUCCGUUGUUGUCACAUGUGAUGCAUCCGCUUGUACUCCACCAAAUUUCUCUGGAGAGUACCAUUUGCAAUCGAGUUAUCGAAUUGUAGCAGACAGAUGUAGGCAUCCACCAUAUAAAGAGGAAAAUGAAGGAAGAAGAAACCAAGCAUUUCCGGGUUGAUGAGAACGGAAUCCUUUGGUUCAAGGAUCGACUUGUGGUCCCAAAAGACCGCAAGCUGCGAAAUCAGAUCCUAUCUGAAGCUCAUUCAUCCAAAAUGUCUAUCCAUCCUGGUAGUAGCAAGAUGUAUCAGGAUCUGAAACCUUUGUUUUGGUGGAAAAAGAUGAAAAAGGAGAUAGCUGCUUUUGUCGCUCGUUGUGACAAUUGUUGUCGGGUGAAGGCUGUUCACAUGAAAGCUGGUUUGCUUCAACCCUUGUCAAUUCCUGGUUGGAAAUGGGAAGAAGUCAGCAUGGAUUUCAUCUGUGGACUCCCAAUUUCUGUUAAGGGUUACGACUCCAUCUGGGUGGUUGUAGAUUGUUUGACCAAGGUUGCUUGAUUUAUUCCAGUCCGAACUGACUAUCGUCCCCAUCAGUAUGCGGAGUUGUAUUUCGAGCACAUUGUUCGACAGUAUGGUGUGCCUCGAACAAUCAUAUUUGAUCGUGGACCGCAGUUCACUGCUCGUUUUUGGGAAUGUCUUCAUGAGCAGAUUGGUACUCAUUUGGUCCGCAGCUCUGCUUAUCAUCCCCAAACAGCAGGUCAAACUGAACGAGUUAACCAGAUCCUUGAAGAUAUGUUGAGGGCAUGUGCUCUCUCAUCAAAAGGUUCUUGGGUUAAGUGGUUGCCAUUAGCUGAGUUCUCCUACAACAAUAGUUACCAGGAGAGUAUCAAGAUGGCUCCAUUUGAAGCCUUGUACGGUCGAAAGUGUCGAACCCCGCUGAAUUGGGUAGAAGCUGGAGAGCGAAGAUACUAUGGCAUCGAUUUCGUGAACGAAGCAGAGCAGAAAGUCCGUACUAUCCAGCAACAUCUGGAAGCUGCUCAAGCUCGUCAGAAAAGUUAUGCCGACAAGAGAAGGAAGCCGAUUGAGUUUUCAGUUGGUGACCAUGUGUACAUCAAGGUGUCUCCGAUGAAGGGUGUACAAAGGUUCGGAGUCAAGCGAAAUCUUGCACCUCGCUAUGUGGGACCUUAUCGGAUUCUCGGAAAGAAAGGGAAUGUGGCAUACAAAGUUCAACUCCCAGUUGCGCUUCGAGCCAUUUUUCCUGUCUUCCACGUAUCACAAUUGAAGAAGUGCCUUCGUGUACCGGAGGAACAAGUGGAAAUUCGAGAUAUCAAGUUGAAGUCAGACUUGGUAGAGGGGAGGGCUGUAACACCCCAGUGUUAUGGUUGCAUCAAGCAUGUGCAUAGCAUGAGCAUCAUCAUUUACUCAAAGCAUAUCAUGAUCAUCAUCUAUCUUGAGCCAUGUCAUUCUAUGCAAAAAUGUGUUUUAAAUUGCUUAAAUAGGCUUCCUAUGCUUAUGUUUGAGUGAACAAUGCUUGUGUUUGUGCUUAAUGCCUUGGUAAUUAGUUUAUCUAUGCUUAGCUUAAUCUUGGGAACAAUGUUCAUGUUGAUCACUUUUCCAAAAUAUGCUUUUAAGUCAUACUUAUGAAAAUAGACCCUAGAAACCUCUUUUGCUUAGGCUUUUAAAAAGUGUUCAUAAAAUAUUUGCAUGUCAAAACUUUCUACAGCAAAGUUGUAGCAAAUUUUAUAAGGAACAAAAGUUGUUUUAUGGCCAUCUCAUGAAAAUGAUCACAAAUAGCUCAAAAGUGACCUACAAGGCAGAUUUGGGGCUGUUUUCAACAGUUAGAAAAUUUUCUAAGUCUUGGAACGAAACCAGUUUGCUCGAUUGAUUUUGAAAACUUCAUAACUCUCAAUCCAAGCCGAUCUAGCUCUUGCUCCAGUUGACAAAGUUGUAGAUCUCGCUUAGUUCUCCAAGUUUGUCAACUACGCCAUCUUCUAAUUCGCUCUGGGUUGGGAGAUAAUCUCCGGUGAAGUGGCUCUGUCAGACCAGCACCCUUUCUUCUGAAUCGAGCCUGAGCUCGUCGACGUGGCCGACCGCCGGCAGAGCUCCAUCACCAUUUGUCGACCGCACGCCGCUCCUGGCCCCGCUUGUCAGCCCUCGUCGCGUGCAUGACCUCCACGGCGACGUCCCGAGCGAAGUGGACGCGUCCACUCGCUCUGCCUCGCCCUCCUUCGCCUGAAACUCGCCCGCAGCGAGCUCUCCGCCGCGAGCUCACUCCGGCGAGCUCGUGUGCGCUCCUCACUGCGCCUCCGUCCACCAAAUUCCACCCAAAGCUCCGCCGUGAGCCGCUCUCCAAGCUCCACCCUCUAACUCGCCGAGAAACCCACCGGUGAGCCGACAUUCCCUUCUUCCCCCAAAUCGGUUCGCCGUGACCUUCUUCUCCGGCGAACUCAAUGUCGAGCGCUGUGAGGCUUCUCAUCGUCUUUGGUUAGGUCCUAGAGGUAGCUUAGGUCCUUAGCGAGCUUUUGCGCCACCUGGUGGAUGCUCUACCGGGUUCUCCGUCGCCGGACACGGUGCGCAGCGCCGCCGUGCUUCCGCCGGAGUUGGGUGCUCUCGUGGCCAGCGCGUUCCACGGGGAUCCAGGCCAAGCCGCGCACCUAGGAAGCUUCGCCGUAGUCCGCUGGUGCUGUAGAAGGCCUUAGGUCGCGCUCUACCGGCCUGAGGGCUCCGGCGUAACGCCGAGCACCUCCGCCGAGCCGCCAUUGUCGACGGCGAGCCUCUUCCGGUGGCUCCGCCGUGGGAAAAGUGGGGUCAAUCGAGUCGUUAGGGUUUGGGGAUCACGCUGAUGCCCUUGGCUUGGCCGGAGACCUUGCCGUCGCAGAGAAAUCGCCGGCGAAAGUCGCCUCGGCCGCGAGGAAGAAGAGCCUGACAGAUGGGACCCACUGUCAGCGACUCUCUCUUUCCCUCCUUUUCUUUUAUUCAAAAUCCUGAUUUUUGGCUUUCUUGCAAAAAUCAUAUCUCCAGUUUCUGAGAUCCAAAAGUUGUGAAACAAAUUUUUGUGGAGUUUCUUGAGAUAGCUAGUAUUUAAUAAAAAUAUAAAAUGAAUAAUGUUUUCUGAGAAAUCAUUUAUUAAGGAUUUAAUCUUGUUAUUUAUGGAAAAAUGCAUAUCUCUUGUUAUACUGCUUAGUUUGCUUUGGAAAUUUUAUGGUAGCCUUUGCAUGGCAUUAGAGUGCUCUGAUAAUUAUUUCAUGAUUUUUAGAGCACUGCAGUUCGGAUACGUAAUUUGUGUUUGAGAUAUGGCUUGUUUCUUUAAAUAAAUCAUAUAAAAUAAUUGGUGCUUAUGCUGAUGUUCUACUUUGGUGGUAAGUUUGUUUAUGGUACUCCUAAGAUGUAAAUAAUCUGAAAUCUGUUGUUUAACACCAUAUAAGUAUUGUUUCCAAAUUUAUGAAAUAAAUGCCUUGAUACGUGUUAAAUACAUAUCUUUAUUUUGGUAUGUGCAAUUGCUGUGAAAUUUUUAUGGUGAUACUUUGAUGGUGUCCUUGUGCUUCUGUAAUUUGUGUAGAUUUUUCAGAGCAUUUGAACUAGUAUCUUGUAAUUAUGCUCUUAUUUAGAGUUAAUUAAUAAAUGUCUUGUUAAAUAAAUGUUUUGGGGUUUCCAUCUGAUGAUCUGGUAACCUUGUAAUAUGUUUGUGCUCAUAGGCCAUGUGGUUGGCAUGGUUUGUGUCUUGAUCAUGUCAUUAAAUAAUUAACUAUAGGGUUAAAUGCUGUUCUGGACAGCAAGGUAGCAAUUUGGUUAUUACUUAAUGAUAACUUGACUUUCUGUGGAACUUGUCUAAAGCAAAGAUGUUCCAAACUUGUUGAACUAACUAUGGUUUAAAUUUGAGGUCGUUUGGCCAAGUAGUUUAAAAGUUAUAGCUGUUUCAAGUUGGGUUCCAGGAAUAGGUGUUCUCUGUUUUUCUGGGACAGAACCUGGAACUUUGUUUAAAUGACCAGUCUCAUGUAUGAAUCUUGCUGUCAUGUUUAAAUAUUAAUUGUAGACAAUUUCAUAAGCUUUCCAGAAUGUCCUUACUCAUGUUUGUUGGACCUGCCUAUCUUUAGUUAUGAUUUAUUUACUGAGCCUCUCUGUUUGUGUGUUUGCUGCCUUAGUGUCUUGAAAGGUUUUGGGUUAUGUUAACUUGUUCAAUUAUGCGAGUUAGUAUAACUUUUGUCCGUAAAUGAGUGUCCAGUGAGUUGCUUGUGUCAUUAAGCAUUCAUCGUUAGCAUGUGCAUUAUCUUAUCGUUCGAGCAUGCAAUAGGUGCACCGGACGUGGCAGUUUCCUUCGAGCUCCAAGCGACUCCCGAAGGUCAUGAGGGCAGCCAGGAGGUGGAGGUCCAGCAAGCCGGACUCGAGGAGCCCGAAGAAGAAGUUGAGUGCCCGAAUCACGAGCCGGCAUCGUUCGUGAAAGGCAAGCCCCGGAGCAUUCUAAGUCUCCUUCUAUUUUCGAAAGUUUACUUAAUAUGUUAUACCUAUUGAUGCAUUAAGUCUAGGAGUUGUGAUGAAACUGUUGCUGCAUUCUACUCUAUCCUUGUCCAGAUAACUCACCCUCCCUGGUUGUAGAGUUAGGAUCGAGUAGCAGCUUAGAUAUGCUUUAAUCGGUAGAAGUCGGGUGAUAUCCUGUCAUCCGCGCGAUAUAGGGUUAUGUCGGAUCACGAUGGUCUAUAUGUGCUAUCGUGGAUGGAACCUGAUUAAAGCGACUUAAGCCGGGCGGAGUUUUGCAAGUUUGUAGUAACUCCGUCUGUGGCAGCUAAGGACUGAUCGUUGUACGUCCUCUUGUCAUGUUGAACGCAUGCCUAACACUUAGUUGGCCGGAUAACUCGUUCCGACCGCGAAGCCGAGUAGUAUGACUCAGGCCGGAAGACCGGCAAGUAUAAAGUGCGCACUACCGGAGGAAGUGCGGUGUGCGGGGGACCAUUGGCGUAAGUCCAAAGGCAGGUGAGUUAAAAUUCCUGACCUCCCUGGCAGAGUGGUAGCCCUGGGAGUGCGGCGCUGAUCGGAACCGCGAUUUCUGAGUUGUACCAAAGGUGACCCGUGGGCUCUCCGGCAGGGGAUGCCUGGGUGAGUGCUAGGAAUAAUCCUCCAGCUGGAUAGGAAUUUGAUUCGAAUCGCCGUCUCUCCCGGUUAGUGAGAACUUGACAGAGCAGCGGCAAACGUAGCAUUCACUAAUGAAUUUGGUUCAUGAUAAUGAUGAUAGCAAGAAGAACAUAUGAUGAAUUUGAUAUGGUUAUUAUUGUUUGUAAUAAUCAAGUGAUGUGUUGUAGUACAGGUGCUAAUCUAGUGGUAAGCUGAUGAUAAAUAAAUAUGAUGCUCUUAAAAUAACUUGGUUGUAAGUUAAGCUUUUGGCAAAAGGUGAGUCAACCAACUCCACCUAAGAUUUAGCCUUGCAUGAUCCUUGGUGUCUUUUGUGUUUUACUAGACGGGUAAGUCUAGCUGAGUACAUCCUCGUACUCAGGGUUUAUUCCCACCUGUUGCAGAUGAUAUCUUCUAUGACGGUUUCUGCAAGACCUGUCUCCAUCCCGCUGGGGAUGAGGACUAACCGUUGGGCACGGUUCUCUACUCUUCUCGUCUAUGAGGCUUUUGGAAGGAUGGCAUAGACUCUGGCAGUAACAAAACUUGUGAACUGAACUUUGAACAAGUGUGUGUAACUAUUUUGCUUCCGCUACUUCAAACUUGGGUUGUAAUAACUUAAUGACUCCGAUGUGGUGCCGCUUCAUCGGCAAUGACUGACUAUGUAACAUUCGUUGUGUUUAUGUUGAACUAUUACGAUCUUGGUUUGUUGCGAGUUGGUUUGAAGUCCUUCGUGAUUUCGAUUGACUACCGGGAUUAUAUGGGCUCAAGUUUAGAAAUUUGAUUGUUUGACGAUCGUUUCUGCACUUGAACUCAUAUAAUUUGGUCGGUUCUGUGACAUAAGGGAUCAAGGAAAACCGUGCGAAUAAUGUCGGUUUGAUCCGACGGCCCAGAUUCAUCUGAAAAGACUAUAUAAGCAAGGCCCCCUGGCCCCUAGAGAUCAUACCUCUUCUACAGAAUCAAAGCUAGGGUUUCAAUUCUUCAUCCAAGUAGAGAGGAUCUCUCUAGUUCAUCUAGUUCUACCUCUAGUUCAUCUAGUUCUAGUUCUAGUUCAUCUAGUUCUAGUUCUAGUUCAUCUAGUUCUAGUUCUAGUUCUAGUUAGUUCUAGUUGUAAUCUAGAAAAUAGGGAGAGAGAAGAGGAGAGCAGAGGAGGAGGAGCCGGAUCUGUCGGAUGUUCCUCAACAUUAUACUUUUGCAGCAACUGGUUCGUUCUUCAUCGUUCUCCAGGUUCUUCAAUUCAUAAUUCCUGAGUUCUUUAAUUACUUUUAUUUACAUUCAAGUUAUUUAUUAGAUUCCAGCUUGCAUCAAGUGCUCUAAUCUUUGCAACAUUAGAGUAGUAAUUAAUAGAUUAGACAUGGUGUUUAGUCUUGCAAUUACCUGGAAUUGCACCCAAUCCUGCGGAUUGUUGUGGUAGCCCUAGGUUAGUGACAGCCCUAACGGUCGACGUAUUCCACCUUGUUCGGAUCGGUGUUUGUAGGACCGUAUUCAGAGCUUCCUAGCCCCCUUCUCAUCUCUUCUGUGGUUAGUGUUCUGAUGUCCCGAAAUAAAUAAUCUUUGAAGUAAUUCUUGAUUCUUAGAUCAACUAGAGAACUCUCAGGAAACUUCCUCUCGUCCCAACAAAAAUAAUUAUAUAGUUAUCCUUGGGCGAUCUUGAAUUUUAAUUAGUACACUCACGUUCCCUGUGGAAAAUCGAUACUCUGGAAUACUCCCGGGUGAAAGCUACAUUGGUAUCCGUGCGCUUGCGGAUUUUUUCUGUUUGCGUUUAAAAUACCCAACAAGCUUUCUGGCGCCAUUUCCGGGGAACGGUAGCUGUGCUAGUUUUGAACCAAGUCGUCUGUGUAUCCUUUUUCUUUUCCCUUUUUACCACACUCACCUUACCAUUUUCACCACACCACAUGGAUUUCACUCCUAUCUAUAAAUUCUUUGCUCCAAAGGGUGAGUUAUUAGAGCCAUCACCAUCAUCACAUCCAAUUCUUACACAUGGCUACGACCUCGGCCCUGAUCUAAUAGCCAUGAUUCAGGAGCAACCCUUCUCUAGGCAAGUAGAUGAAGAUCCAUACACCCACCUUAGAGAAUUCUAGCAGUUGUGCUCUUGCCGAUCUAUUUCCGACAUGACACAAGAAACCCUUAAAUGGAAAUUAUUUCUAUUCUCCCUUUUGGGAAGAGCAAAAAAUUGGUAUGCUCAUUCUGUAGGAGGUGUUAAUGGAAAUUGGGAUGAACUUCGGGACAACUUUUGUCUCGCUUUCUUCCCACUUUUUCGAAUCGCUGACCUUAGAAUCAAAAUUCUUACAUUCAAACAAAGAGAGAAUGAAACUUUAGGAGCAGCUUGGGCUAGGUUCACAAGCCUUACCAAUUCUGGUCCAAACCUUGCCCUGCCUAACCAUGUACUGUACUACCACUUUUAUCAUGGUCUAAACAAGGAAGCUGCUCUUCACCUCGACAUUGCUUCAGGAGGCUCAUUCACACACAAACUCAUAGAUGAGGGGAGAGCUAUCCUAGAGAGAAUCCUUGAAAAUACCCCUUACACAGGCAUUUAUGAUGAGUUUCCUGAAGGAGAAAAAGAAGUCGAGCCUGAUCCUAAACCAAAAGAUGAGGAACUUGCAACCGAGUUAGAAAUUCCACCUGACCCAUCCAUUAAUUUGGUUGUAGAGAAACCUCAUGAUAAAGGAAUGCAAAACCAACUAAGGGAUGAUGAACCACCACCUUUAGAGCAUCCCUUUGAAUUUGAGGAAGAUCUUUUUGAAGAUUAUGGAAACACCUCGAAUUUUCCUAUCCAAACACGACCUCUAGCAGGGACCACUCAAUCCGUUCUAAGAUUAGAACCUAUUGACAUAGAACACAUCAAAAGGCUUUCGGCUAUUCUGAGUUAUGAAUGGCUAACAGAAGUAGAGCUGUCUCCUGAGGUAGCUCGGAUCAUCACUCCUUCAACCAUUCUUCUAUGCCAAAUUAGAAGGUCCGCAAGGAAGGUCCACUACAAUCCAUAUGUUGGGAUAAAUGUUAUUUCCAAGGAGUUAGCUGACACUCUUUAUCCCAACGAGUCCAUUUGGAUUAAUUCUAGAAAGCCAUGGGGUAUUAAGGGUAGUUCCUGUUAGAAUCAAGGACUCUGGAAUAUGUCUAGAUUUUCAUAUUUUUGACAUACCGGAGAUUCCUCUCUUGAUUGGCAGACCAAUCAUGAAACUUCUACAAGAACAACCACAACGAGGUCAUUUAGACUUCAAGGUUGGGAAUUCCACUAUUAUUGUUCCUCUUGCUAGAUCAAUUAACACGAUAGUGGAACCCAAACUUGAACCAGAUCCUAUUGAGGAGAUCUUAAUGCUGACUCAAGAGGAGAUGGCCCAACCAUUCUUUAAUCAUGAACACUUUGUUCAAGAAGAAGAGUUGGUAGAACCCGUUGAGCUAGACAAAAAUGAACAACCUUCACCUCCUUCGAUAGAAUUAAAACCUCUUCCUUCUGGCCUUAGAUAUGUCUUUUUGCACAACAACCCAAAAACUCCAGUAAUUAUCAACGACAAGCUUUCCAAUUAUGAAACACAACAACUUGUCACUAUUCUUGAAAGGCAUAGAUCAGCAUUUGGCUACUCUCUCGAAUAUCUCACAGGCAUUAGUCCCAUUCUCUGCACUCAUUGUAUCCCUAUUGAUCCCAAUUUUACACCUUCAAGGGAACCACAACGGAGACUUAACAAUGCUAUGCGAGAGGUUGUUAAGAAAGAGGUCCUCAAACUCUAUCAUGCUGGAAUUAUUUAUCCUGUGCCACAUAGUGAGUGGGUUAGCCCUGUCCAAGUAUUGCCAAAGAAAGGAGGAAUGAUGGUCGUUAGGAAUGAGAAGAAUGAACUCAUCCCUCAAUGAAUUGUCACUAGGUGGCGUAUGUGUAUUGACUAUCGAAAACUCAACAAGGCUACAAAUAAAGAUCACUUUCCGUUACCCUUCAUUGAUGAAAUGUUGGAACGGCUUGCAAACCACUCUUUCUUCUGUUUCCUUGAUGGUUAUUCUAGAUAUCACUAAAUCCCAAUCCACCCAGAUGACUAAGAAAAGACUACCUUUACAUGCCCGUAUGGAACUUUUGCAUACCGACGAAUGUCGUUCGGAUUGUGCAAUGCUCCAGCUUCUUUCCAACGGUGCAUGAUGUCUAUUUUCUCGGACAUGAUUGAGAAGAUCAUGGAGGUUUUCAUGGAUGAUUUUACCGUCUAUGGCAAAACCUUCGAUCAUUGUUUGGAGAAUUUAGAUAGAGUCUUGCAGCGAUGUGAAGAAAAGCACUUAAUCCUGAACUAGGAGAAAUGCCAUUUUAUGGUUCAGGAAGGAAUAGUGCUAGGACAUAAAGUGUCUGAACGUGGUAUAGAGGUGGACAAAGCAAAGAUUGAAGUUAUUGAAAAACUUCCACCUCCCACGAAUGUGAAAGGAAUCCGUAGCUUUUUGGGACAUGCAGGGUUCUAUAGACGCUUUAUAAAGAACUUUUCUCAAAUUGCUAGACCCCUAACUAGUCUCCUAGCUAAGGAUGCACCUUUCAUCUUUAGUGAUGAGUGUCAUGAAUCUUUUCAAACUCUUAAGAAAGCUCUCAUCUCAGCCCUGAUUAUCCAACCACCUGAUUGGAAUCUUCCUUUUGAGAUCUUGUGUGAUGCUAGCGAUUUUGCGGUUGGUGCCGUUUUAGGACAAACCAAGGAUAAAAAGCAUUAUGCCAUAUCCUAUGCUAGCAAAACCCUAUUUGGACCACAGCUUAAUUACACUACAACUGAAAAAGUGCUUUUGGCUGUUGUCUUUGCUAUAGACAAGUUUAGAUCUUACUUAGUGGGGGCAAAGAUAAUCAUCUGUUCAGACCAUGCUGCUCUCAAGUACCUCCUCACUAAGAAAGAUGCUAAGCCUCGUCUAAUUCGAUGGAUUCUUCUACUCCAAGACUUUGACAUAGAAAUCCGAGAUAGGAAGGGAGUUGAGAAUUCUGUAGCCGACCACUUGUCUAGGCUUCAGUAUUUGGAAACGCGUGAUGAGAUUCCCAUAAAUGACUACCUAAGGGAUGACACCCUACUUAAGAUAACACAGGCAGAUCCAUGGUACGCAUACAUCGUAAACUUUAUAGUAAAAGGCUAUGUCCCACCUGGUACAAACAAAAGGAAGUUGCUUCACGAUAGUCGUUUCCACCUUUGGAUGAGCCAUAUCGAUUCUGAGUCUGCGCUGAUGGACUCUUGAGAAGUUGUGUUCCUAUGGCUGAGGCUACUCAAAUUAUGGAAAGAUGACAUGCCUCACCAUAUGGAGGACACUAUGGAGCAUUCCAGACACAUGCAACAAUUUGGCAAAGUGUUUUCUUCUGGCCAACAAUGUAUGAAGAUACAAAGGACUUUGUCAGGAGAUGCCACCGAUGUCAAAAACAUGGGAAUAUCAUCUCACGAAAUGAAAUGCCUCUCACAAAUAAUCUUUAAGUAGAACUUUUCGAUGUAUGGGGCAUUGAUUUCAUGGGGCCAUUCCCUAUGUCCAGGAAUUGCGAAUAUAUCUUAGUAGCUAUGGACUACGUGUCCAAAUGGGUAGAAGCCCUACCUUGUCGAUCAGCUGAUUCAAAACAUGCCAAGAUAAUGUUCCAUGAAGUAAUCUUUCCUCGCUUUGGUAUACCCCGGAUAGUUAUAAGCGAUGGAGGUUCCUGUUGGGUAUUCUUAACAUCAUUACCAAAAGUAGACUAAGUUCUCUAAAUCUAGUAACGGUGCCAAAAAUGCCAAACCUAUCCCUCACACCACUUAAGCCAAGUUGUCAUCCCCAGCAUGAUAUGAGAGACGCGGUAUUGAAAUAUGCAAUUGCUCUUCUAAAUAAAUAAUGAAUGGGAUCUGCAAGCGCACAGAUUAAUACCGAUGCAGCAUUUUAACCGGGAAGUAUUCUAGGUAUCGUUAUUUAUAUUUUUACCACUAGGAAGGGAUUAGCAAUCAUCAAUAUUGAUUACAGAAUAGAAUAUGAGAUUGAGCAUAUAUCAUUGCAUGUAUAAUUGAGAACAUUAUAUCUAACUCUUCAUACAGGGAUAAGUGUCACAUAAAGGAUAUAUGAAAUAAUAAUAGUGACAAGGAUAACUAAUCUGAUCUAGCCACAUAAUAAAUAUUAUAAGCACCUCAAUUAGAUACUCUAGAAAGUCAUUAGCAUGGUAUUAGAACGAACUACAAGAAUAUUCCCUAAGUUAUUCUCAACUAUAUAGUCUAGCAUUAUCAUAGUUAGUGCAAGCAUACUUAGCAAUCAUUGCGAGACAAGACUACGCCCAUGCAUAGUGAUAUUAGCAAGGAAUAUGAGAAACAUAGCAAUCACUCCCCUGUAAUAAUGUUGCUCUGCCAGCCCAAUACACGAGAGGGGGACUAUAUAAGAAUCAAUGAAGCUGUCACUAUCACGAACCACCCCACGAUCUGGCAUAUUGGGUACAAUCGCAGAUAAAUACGGUAUAAGCACCACGCCUACAAAAUAUCUAUCAUUUACCCAUGGAUCCGAUGGAUAAACGCUAUACGAUCCUAAGCAUGUAUAUAGAUCGUAUCUAACUAAGCCAAGUACAUAACUAUGAUAAACUAAGAACAAUAUAAUCUUGAAUAUAAGCAAGUAGAGCAAAGUCAUAAGCAAUAUAUUGAAGUAGAACAAAGUCAUAUUCAUAAUAUUGAAGAACAAAGAUAAUUAGAAAGCAAUUAGAAGCACAAUUAGAGAAUUACCAAGAAUCCUCUUGACAGAUCCGGAAACCAAUCGAAGAUUGACUCCUUCUAUUUCUAAUCCUAUGUAGCUAUGCUAAUCUAGAUGUCUAAUUGAUGUGGUGGCUCUAAUCUUGAUCAGAGGCUUCUUCUCCCUUGAUGGAACAAUGAACUAGGGUUGAGAGGCUCUCUCCUACAGGGGCCAGGGGGUCUGGUUUUAUAGUCCCUUCAAGUGAAUAUGGGCCCUUGGAUCAAACCGACAUAGAUUGUAUGGUUUAGAUUCAUCCUUUAGGUCGGUGGAGAUCUCCCGCGAAGCAGAGUCCUGAUUGGACUCAGGGGCAGGGCGGGCGCCCUGACUAACUGGGCGGCCGCCCAGGGUCUGGCCCCGUUUCGCCUCCGCUUCGGUCUCGUGGCUUCUGGAGUCUUCUAGAUGUGAGAUAAUUGCGCAGCACGUUAAUAUCUUUACGUAAUCCCGACAUGUGGGCCUUUCUUCUAUAUUUCCUGAUAACCCCCUGCAGAAAUAGACAAACACCAAAACUCGUGGAAUUCUGUCAGAUAAAACCCUAAGUCUAGAUCUUGAUUUCAUUUGGAUCCUUUUCUUUAUUUAUUUGAUAAUUAAAUUUGAUACUUAAGGACCGUCAACAAACUCCCCCAAGCUUACCUCUUGCUCGUCCCUGAGCAAGGAUAGACUCAGCUAUGGAUCAUAAGUUGUUGCAUUAUAUUUUAAAAAUUUGACGGUACACAUGCUUUUAAAUAAGAUCUCAUCUCUGAGUUAGAGUAAACUGUCAAGACUUAAAACUUACUUACUUUACCUUUACCAUGGGACUUGUAACUGACACUUCUGUCUUGAGUGGUUAAAAGAUAGAACAGUCUAGCCAAGUGCCAUGUCUCUUAUUCUUGAUCAGCUAUAGCUCUGGGGUUUUUGCAGAUUUUCAAAUAAAACUCAGAAAUUCCUUGUAUGAUUCUCUCAGGUCUCUCUUUUGUGGUAUUUUUGGAUCCUUACCAAGGCAUUGAUGGUAUAUGCCUUCUCUCAAGAUAUGUAAUAUUUGUGGUAUAAGGCAUAGUGACAUUGCCUUCUCUCUCACCCUACUCUAAUAAGGCUUUAAUAUCUGAAGCUCAUAGGUGGGAGAUAAAAUAUACAUACUUACAAGACAUUUGUUGCAUAGUCAAACCAUGGAUCCAAAGUAACAAGCCAAUAAGUUUAAUCAAGAUGUGCAUGGGUGGCGAAUGAAUGGUGUAUGGUGGUGAUAGUGAUAACAAUGGUGAAAACAAUGGUGGUGGAAGUCUAAUUCUACUUUGCUCUUUGAGGGGAUACAUACCUUCCUUGCUAUUGAAACUUUAUGAGGAGAAUGAGAUGCUCUUCUUUUUUUUCAGGUGGGUAUCUUGCACCCCUAAUUCUACUAUCGGACACUUGUCCAUUUUUACCUCUCGUCUCACUUUUUCUUUUCUUUCGAGGUUCCGAGCACUUGCUCCUUUUUAUUUCCUCGUAUAUUUUUUUAGAGCACUCAUCUCUUGAGAUAAUAUAGCAAGUGGUAGUAACAAGAUAACUUGAGCAUUUAUUUCACAAGGGGAAAACAGAAAUAUUUUUGGUUAUUCUCUCCCGGAUUAGGAGUAGAAUAUUUUUGGGUGAUUCUGGAGAUGGAAUGGGUGGAUAUAUGUGGAUGGUACUUCUGGAGUAGAAGUAGCAUAUAUGAGUGAACGUACAAGUGAAUCUUGAUUUAACCACAUGACAAGCUCCUAAGGGUCUACACAGCUUGACCACACUCAAUGCUCAUAAGCAGUAAAUAUUAAAUGUGUGGCUCAAAGUCUAGCAAGCAUGUAUAUAUGGCUGUGGUAGGAAUUUAAACUCUCAUCAUACAGGAACUCAUCAUGCAACAUUUUAAAGAUUUUCAAAGAUAAAAUUCUCCAGAAUUCUAGCAUCUCUAGGAACAGAUAAACAGCACCUCAACCUUCCCAUAUCAUAUCCGUUAACAACUUACACUUCAGAUCAAGUUUUCAUCCCACAAGUUUAGGUCUAGAGCAAGCUUUAAAUUAUAACAGUUAUAUCUAAAAUUGAGAGAGAACUUAAAAUGUGCACAUUAGGCAGAGCAACUAUUCAUCAUAUCCAUGCUUAAGUUUUAUUUAGAUACAGAUUAGCAUAGCCACUUUAUUUAUUUAUUAAACACACUAAGCAAAAGACAUAUAUAAGCAUAAAAUCUUUAUUUGGUUUUCCCAUAGUUUAUGUGUAUUUUAAUAUUCUAAAAUAAUAUAAGUAUAAAGAUAGAUAGAAAUACUUAUCGUGAUAAAUGGGGGUGCUCUCCCCCAAGCUGAAUUUUGACGUAAUUUCUCUUGGUGUAGCUAGCAGGUGGUAGAGGUGUAUUUGAAAGUCAGCAGCAUUCUGACAGCGAUUAGAAUGUCCUCCGUCUACUAGUCUUCUUGAUUCUUAAAUUUCUGUGGAGCUCAAAUAGACAACAAAGCUUGUGGAACUUAUUAAGUGUUAGCAUAAAUAUCUAGCCUUUAUUAUCUUGAGACUCCUUAAUAAAUAUUACUCCCUGUUUUUAUAUUUUUGUUUUAUAAAGCAGAAAAAUAUUUAUUUUAUUUUUAUGCCACCACAGUGAAUGUGCUUAUGGGUUUUAUGCCACUUGUCUACUCACAUGGGGCUUAUAGUUUUUAACAUUUUUAUUUUCUUUUUAAGAUAGUGUGAAUAUGAUUAACUAAGUAAACUAUUUGAAAUAACUGAAAGGGAAAGGAUAACUACCAAGUUUACCUCUUGGCAAGGCGUUCGGUGUUUUUAAGUCCUCCGAACGGGACUCUCCAAUUUCUUAAUUGUCCUGAGGUUCGUUGGGUGGCGUAGUCGGUACUUCCGGCAGCGCCUCCUCUUCUUGUAUAGUUAUCUUCAUUUUCCAUACCUGACUAGGUGCUUCGAUCUCCUCUGGAUAAUUCUGUUUAAAUUCAACGUCUUCUGACCUUACAACUUCUCCUUCAUAGUCUGCCCAUCCGUCCUUGAUGAUCUGCCUCCUCUGGUUGCGGUUCCGUCUUUUUCUGACCUGCUUAGAUUCUUCAAUGAUAUAGUUAGGGUCAGUAAAAUAACGGCGUACCUUCUCUGAGGGGAAGUGCAUAUGGACUUCUCCGGUUCCAAUGUAGAUAAUUGCUUUAACGGUGCUGAGGAAUGGUCUUCCAAGGAUGAUGGGUGGAUCAUAUUCAUCUUCUCCCAUGUCAACAACUUGAAAGUCUGUGUAGACAAAGUGAUCGUCUAUUUUGACUGGGACAUCAGAUACUAUUCCUUUAACUUCUCGAAAUGUCUGAUCUGCCAUCUGGAGCUAAAUGUAUGUUGGUCUUAGUGGCAUGGUCCCGAAUAAGAGCCGAUAAGUGACUGCGGCCAUUAUGUUGACGCCCGAUCCGGUGUCGCAAAUCGUCUUGUAGAAGUUGUAUCCAUUUAUGGAGCAAUAGAUGCUUGGCAUUCCUGGGUCGUCCUUCUUGGUCAAAAACGGUGACUUAAGUUGAUGAUCUUGGCCUCCAUGGACUACAUUGACCAUCUUAGCUGACUCGGUCCACGCUUGUUCCUGUUCCUCCUGUUGGUCCUCUUCCUUGAUUCACGUCUGGAUUGAUCUUGAAUUUGUGUAGUCUUGUUCUUGAAGAAAAAUGUCUCCUUCUUCCCUUUGACGUAGAAACUGAUCUUGGCAGCACUAGCGAAGAUGAUAGCUCCCGUGGUGUUCAAGAAUGGCCUCCCUAGGAUGAUAGGUGCUCUCUCAUCAUUUUCGGUCUCUACCACUACGAAGUCUGCUGGGGCAUAUAAGGUACCAACUCGGACACAAAGGUUCCUCACUAUUCCCUUUGGAAAAGUUAUCGUCUAAUCUGCAAACUGCAAACACAUGUUUGUUUCUAAUAAAGGAUAUGUAAAGAAUUUUUCAUAGAGUACCCUGGGUAUAAUGUUGACACUGGAGCCAAAGUCACAGAGUGCUUCUGGGAAGUCCACCAUGCCGAUGGAGAUCGGGAUGACGGGGCGUCCUGGAUCGCCUCUCUUGACCGGUAGAAGGUCAGUAGAAAAUUCAGUGACGGGGUUACUCCAAUUACCUGCAUCAAACAUGUCUACAAGAUUUGCAGAUUCUAAUCCUUCCGGUUGUGAUGGUAUACCGGGGUUAGUAGUAGGAACAGCAGCAGCUAUUUGAUUUAAUUGGGAUUCAAUCAUUUUAUUAAAGCUAAUUUGAUUCUUGAUGGCAGUAGAGAAAUUAUCCAUCCUAUUAUUUAUAUUUUCUAGCAUUUUAUCAUUAGAUGCCAAUUUCUUAGAU
RNAcentral lists this long non-coding RNA (36885 nucleotides) under Sorghum bicolor (sorghum). RNAcentral's name for it is "long non-coding RNA (SBIC_LNC014202)". The stretch from base 2521 to 2627 matches the Rfam family "Plant small nucleolar RNA R71". The record is from RNAcentral. Lineage: Eukaryota; Viridiplantae; Streptophyta; Magnoliopsida; Poales; Poaceae.